Molecule: ribosomal RNA, 499 nt
Filed under: uncultured bacterium
Lineage: Bacteria
Description: partial 16S ribosomal RNA
Rfam family: Bacterial small subunit ribosomal RNA
Source: RNAcentral
GAUGAACGCUGGCGGCGUGCCUAAUACAUGCAAGUCGAGCGAACAGACGAGAGUGCUUGCACUCUCUGCCGUUAGCGGCGGACGGGUGAGUAACACGUGGGUAACCUACCUAUAAGACUGGGAUAACUUCGGGAAACCGGAGCUAAUACCGGAUAAUAUUUAGCUUCGCAUGAAGCAAUAGUGAAAGACGGUUCUGCUGUCACUUAUAGAUGGACCCGCGGUGUAUUAGCUAGUUGGUGAGGUAACGGCUCACCAAGGCAACGAUACAUAGCCGACCUGAGAGGGUGAUCGGCCACACUGGGACUGAGACACGGCCCAGACUCCUACGGGAGGCAGCAGUAGGGAAUCUUCCGCAAAGGACGAAAGUCUGACGGAGCAAUGCCGCGUGAGUGAAGAAGGUUUUCGGAUCGUAAAACUCUGUUGUAAGGGAAGAACAAGUACGUUAGUAACUGAACGUACCUUGACGGUACCUUACCAGAAAGCCACGGCUAACUACGUG